This 735-nucleotide ribosomal RNA is filed under the name uncultured Bacilli bacterium. RNAcentral describes it as "bacterial SSU rRNA". It matches the Rfam family "Bacterial small subunit ribosomal RNA", at positions 60 to 753 of the family's 1533-position model. The record is from RNAcentral. Lineage: Bacteria; Bacillati; Bacillota; Bacilli.
AGUCGAACGCACUCUCGUUUAGAUUGAAGGAGCUUGCUCCUGAUUGAUAAACAUUUGAGUGAGUGGCGGACGGGUGAGUAACACGUGGGUAACCUGCCCUAAAGUGGGGGAUAACAUUUGGAAACAGAUGCUAAUACCGCAUAAAACCUAACACCGCAUGGUGUAGGGUUGAAAGAUGGUUUCGGCUAUCACUUUAGGAUGGACCCGCGGUGCAUUAGUUAGUUGGUGAGGUAAAGGCUCACCAAGACCGUGAUGCAUAGCCGACCUGAGAGGGUAAUCGGCCACACUGGGACUGAGACACGGCCCAGACUCCUACGGGAGGCAGCAGUAGGGAAUCUUCCACAAUGGACGAAAGUCUGAUGGAGCAACGCCGCGUGAGUGAAGAAGGUUUUCGGAUCGUAAAACUCUGUUGUUGGAGAAGAAUGUAUCUGAUAGUAACUGAUCAGGUAGUGACGGUAUCCAACCAGAAAGCCACGGCUAACUACGUGCCAGCAGCCGCGGUAAUACGUAGGUGGCAAGCGUUGUCCGGAUUUAUUGGGCGUAAAGCGAGCGCAGGCGGUUUCUUAAGUCUGAUGUGAAAGCCUUCGGCUCAACCGAAGAAGUGCAUCGGAAACUGGGAAACUUGAGUGCAGAAGAGGACAGUGGAACUCCAUGUGUAGCGGUGAAAUGCGUAGAUAUAUGGAAGAACACCAGUGGCGAAGGCGGCUGUCUGGUUCUGUAACUGACGCUGAGGCU